UUUGCUCACAAAAUUAUUUUAUCUUUUCAUUUCUCUCUCUACUCCUCCCAUGGAGUCUAUGGAAAGUUCCUGAGCCUUCUUGAACAACCCGGUCCUCCCCUUCGAGAACAUGACUUGUCUGCUGUUGGCAUUGUUGAUUCUUUUGAUCUCGAUCUUCCCUCGACCCAUUGGCUUAAUUUCUCGCUCUCUCAGAGCACAAACAUGCCCAACUGAACGAGAAAUUAGAGCUGGUGUUUUGGGAGGAGUAGCAAUUCGACGGUUGAAGAUGCGAAGGAAGGCACCACACUAAGUAAGGUUGCGAGAAUGGAAAGCGUUUUACCUCAAAUGACCAGAGAGGUUGGCUGGAAACAGCAACUUUGCAUGGCUCCGCGUUCUUGGUGCAUUUAGAGACUAUUUCCUUUUUGCCCCAUUUUGGAUUUUCAUCUGCACCCGCAGGUCCCACAUGGUUUUGGCUGCCUCUUAUAUGUUACAAAUGAGAGGCUUACAUGGCAUUUCAAGGCAUGUAUAGAAUAGGCUUAGAAACCUUAUACCCAGAACUCUGAUACUUCAAGAUUCCACUUUGCUAUUGUAUGUUUGAUUUCUUUGGGUUCCUUAAAAAAAGGAUGCACUUUGGGAAGUGGUUCAUCUUUUGUAGAUAUUAAGAAAUCAAAAUUUAGUUGCUUAUAUUUUUGGUACGCCUAGGAAUGUGCUUAUGCUCUUAUGACAGGCAUACAUUCAUUAUAAUUUUUUAUGGACAUUACCGUUUGUGAUGUAAAUUUUAUGAGUAAUUUGUGAAUGCAUACUUCCUUUUUUCAUAAUUUUAUUGAUAAUUUUGUUAUGUGGUUUUUGUUGAUUUUUGUCAACAAGAAAAUCCCGAGAGAUUUGACUGAGGCGUGGUUAUCAGGAGCGGGAUUAUCCAUAGUGGCAGCUUUGGUUAUGAUGUUUUUACUUGGAAUGGUCCUCAUACUCUUAUAUGUUAAAUUCUCCUUUCGGAUUCGCAUUUCUCUUUCUCCACCGCAACACACCCACCUUCAGGAUUUUGGUGGUUGUUUUGACAGUAUUUGAGAGAGUUGGUGAUACUUUUAUAUCAUGGGAUACAAAAUGAUAGGAUCUUUUCUGACCUGGGCCCUUGUCAUUUGGUGUAAUGGCAGCAUGGUUUUUGGCUAUGCUUAUCCAGCUUAUGAAUGCUAUAAAGUAGUUGAAAAAGAAUAAGCCGGAAGCGAUUAUAAAACAACUGACGGCACUGGAGUUCGUGAUUACAUUCAUGUUCUUGAUUUAGCAGAUGGGCAUAUUGUUGUGUUGCGUAAACUAGAUGAUCCUAAAAUAGGCCUAAGCAAUCUGGUUGGUAGAACCUGCAGAAUUUUUAAUAUCAAUUAUACCAAACGCCACCAUUCCAACGCUUUAUUUUGUCACAUCUUUGUGUCAGUGUUGCAAAUAACAUGAAUUCGCUUGGACAGAUUUUCCCUUAGAGAACGCGUAUGAGCUAUUAGGAGUGUCCGAGACCAACUCCUUUGACGAGAUUAAAGCGUCAUUCCGCAAAUUGGCCAAAGAGACUCACCAGGACCUAGCUGAGUCAAUGAAUGAUUCCACUGCAUCUCGACAAUUUGUAAAAAUUCUGGCAGACUAUGAGGUUUGUGCAAAUCUGGUUCUAGAAGAUUUAUCUUCACAUUGAUGUUGGGUGGAGCUAUUAGUGAUAUUGCCAUAAUUUAUCUUAUUAUUAUAGACAGGUUCAUAUAAUUUGUUUUGUCAUUUCAAACUUAAUGUGAUUGGAGUGGAUAAUAUAAUUUCCAUCUCGACCAAAUACAAAAAAAAAAAAUUAGGUGAUGGCUUAAUUAUGUUACUUAUUUUAUAUCCUAUAAUCUCAUGCCAUAAUUAUAAGUAAAUGAUGGCAAUGUCUGCCACCCUUUUCCGUGGACAUGCAGGCAGAGUUACUCCACAGAGUGGCAAUCAUAUUCCUCCAAGCCAUUUAAGUUUCUUUGCUUAAUAAAAAGUUGUGCAAACAACACUUAUCGUGUCCUAUCCUAUAAUGUUGUCUAUCUUAAUCUAAUUGAGUUCUUCGUUUUGAUCAAUUUCUUCUUUUGAUUGUUCUACCUAAAAUCAAGUAAGAAGUACCUGUGAAAAAAUUAUCCAAAAUAGUCACUUUCAAAACAUACACUUACCUUCAUGAGGUCAUUGAACUGAUUAGAGACAAUAACCUUCAGAUGUUAUCAAACUGUUGCUUAGAAGGAGAGCUUACAAAUGAUGAUGGGACUAAAUUAAUGUGUCUACCCUAAGGGUGUUUGCACUCUGAACCACGAGAGUGUCCUAAUUCGAAGUUACUGCUCUAAUACCUCUCUAGAAGGAUUCUGAGGUUAGACGGACUUAAUACUUUUAACUGAAGAUAACCUAUAGCCGAAUGCUUGAAGAGUUGUACAUAAAUAAUUGAGCUUUUACUGAUUUUUCUUGCUUUCUUUGUUCAAUUUCAUUAUAAAUAAGUUCAUAUACAAUGAUAGCAUAUAGUUUAUAUGCAAGGAUAACAUAUGCAAGAAUGAUUUAUUGUAAGUAGGUCAUACAUUUUGGUGACAAAUUCAUCCUUGAAGAACCAAUUGAGAGGUAUAGUUAAUUGAUAUUAGCGUUUGUUUUUAGUUCUUUUCAUUGACCAGUAGAUCCAAAUUAUGUACUAUUAACAAGCUCUAUCAACAGACAGAAAUUGGUUAUUGUUAUGUUUCAGGACAUUUUGCAAUGUCUUGGUUGCUUUAAGUAAAAAAAUAAUUUAAAUGUCAUGUGAGCAGAAGUUCAAAUUCCAAAUUGAAGGAUUUUUUACUAGAUUUUUUAUUUGACACUGGUAGUAGCCAUUUUUGGUU
Glycine soja is the source of this 2822-nucleotide long non-coding RNA. RefSeq lists it as uncharacterized. NCBI's taxonomy places the organism in Eukaryota, Viridiplantae, Streptophyta, Magnoliopsida, Fabales, Fabaceae. The transcript is spliced from 8 exons. The record is from RefSeq and is a predicted model, not a curated record.